AUUGAACGCUGGCGGCAUGCUUUACACAUGCAAGUCGAACGGUAACAGGCCUUCGGGUGCUGACGAGUGGCGAACGGGUGAGUAAUGCAUCGGAACGUGCCCAAUCGUGGGGGAUAACGUAGCGAAAGUUACGCUAAUACCGCAUAAGCCCUGAGGGGGAAAGUGGGGGACCGCAAGGCCUCACGCGAAUGGAGCGGCCGAUGUCAGAUUAGCUAGUUGGUGGGGUAAAGGCCCACCAAGGCGACGAGUCUGUAGCGGGUCUGAGAGGACGAUCCGCCACACUGGGACUGAGACACGGCCCAGACUCCUACGGGAGGCAGCAGUGGGGAAUUUUGGACAAUGGGCGCAAGCCUGAUCCAGCCAUGCCGCGUGCGGGACGAAGGCCU
Molecule: ribosomal RNA, 386 nt
Filed under: uncultured bacterium
Lineage: Bacteria
Description: bacterial SSU rRNA
Rfam family: Bacterial small subunit ribosomal RNA
Source: RNAcentral